CAGCACCUCAAGUGGUCAGGAUAAUUAUUGGGCCUAAAGCAUCCGUAGCCGGCGCUGUAAGUUUUCGGUUAAAUCUGUACGCUCAACGUACAGGCUGCCGGGAAUACUGCAGCGCUAGGGAGUGGGAGAGGUAGACGGUACUCGGUAGGAAGGGGUAAAAUCCUUUGAUCUAUUGAUGACCACCUGUGGCGAAGGCGGUCUACCAGAACACGUCCGACGGUGAGGGAUGAAAGCUGGGGGAGCAAACCGGAUUAGAUACCCGCGUAGUCC
RNAcentral lists this ribosomal RNA (270 nucleotides) under uncultured archaeon. Its description in RNAcentral is "partial 16S ribosomal RNA". It matches the Rfam family "Archaeal small subunit ribosomal RNA", at positions 477 to 747 of the family's 1478-position model. The record is from RNAcentral.